This 1557-nucleotide long non-coding RNA is filed under the name Gossypium barbadense (sea-island cotton). RNAcentral describes it as "long non-coding RNA (GBAR_LNC021309)". Lineage: Eukaryota; Viridiplantae; Streptophyta; Magnoliopsida; Malvales; Malvaceae. The record is from RNAcentral.
UCACUUCAGCAACAAUCACUUCAAAUUUUCAAGCAUACAACAGCAGCAGCCAGCGAAAUCUAAGAAAGGUAUGCACUAAUCAAUUGUUUUUAAGUACUAAUAUUUAGGGAUAAAGUAAUAUUUAAUUAUCUGAAUAUUUUAUACUAGGGACCAAGUUAUAAAAAGUUUAGAAGUUGGAGUUGAAUUCUAUAUCUUUAUACAAGUUAAAAUACAAUUUAAUCAUAUUGGUUUGUAAUUUUACAUAUUUAGUUUAAAGAGAUUAGAUCAAAAUUUUAUCAUUUUAGAGGUUGAGAUGCAAUUUUACCGUGUAUUAACACCCAAAACAUAAAUUUCCAUUUUAGGUGGCCGAAGCCUUGGUUAUUUAUCUACUUUGAUCUUUGAACUUCUUUUUUGUCUAAAUUAAUUCGAAAAUUUAAUAGUUUUUCCUAGUUUAGUCCUUCAACCUUGGUCUAUGCUACAUCAUCGCUUUCAUUCUUUUUUUAUUAUUUAAGUUUUUUAAAAUUUUCAAAUGAUGACGUGAUAUAAUCUUAAAGUGUCAUGCUAUCUCUCUUUAACGGAAUUCAAGUUCAUGGACUAAAUUAAAAGAAUUGUUAAGUUCAAAGACUAAAUAUUAUUUUAUCCCUAAUAUUAGUUACCCUGUUUUAGAAGUUGAUUGAAUUUAUUGCUUGCUUACUUUUGUUAUUAACCAUUGCUUUGUUCUUCUUCUUCUUCUUCUUUUUAAUUUUAGGUCCCGUAAUAGAAAAAAGAUGGAUGAGAAAUUUCUAAAAUCAUUAGAAACUAGAAAAUAUGAUCUCAAAUCCAGUGAUUUACCCAUAUCAAGUUACAGAGACUUGGGCCCUGGCUGUGGUGAAUUCAUCCCCUACAAUGUUUAGAGCUAUUUACAACUCCCCAACAUUUAAUAGAAGAAUAAAAGCACUUGAGCACGCUUCAACCCACAGCCUUCUAUACUAACAAUAAUGUUGAUACUAACUAAAUUAAAACUCAAUUUAACAACUGUAUAGAUUUUUAGGUUAAAUAAAUUUUAAGUACACAUAUUACUGUUGUGAUGUAAGUAUUUAGGAUAAAUCACCCUGCAUUGUCAGACAAAUUGACCCACACUAUAAAUUGUAUAUACAAACAAAAUUAAAGAGCAUUGGUAAAAUGUAUAAAAAUUUUAUUAACAUUCAAUAUUUAUAAUAAAUUAAACACAAAUAGAAUAUACAAAACUUUGAUGCCUAGAAUCCUUUAGGGCACUUCAAGCAGCCUUUAAUUUUUGUGAUUGGAUGAGUCUUGGCUGCCACAAAUUGAAGAAGAAAAAUAUAUAAAAGCAUUUCAGAACAAAUACACACAAAUUAAGCAUCUGCAUGUAAGAAACUUACAUAAUUAGUUCGUUUUCGGUUUCACAAGUUUAAUCGUUUUAAGUUUGGGAUUUUAAUUUUUGGAUUAUUUUAAAUUCGAAUGAAUGUUUUGUUUGAAUCAAUUUAUAUUUGAGUGAAUAAUAAAUGGGUUUAAAUUGCUAAUUUUUUAUGGUCAAACUUAAUUAAUUAGUUAAAUUUUCGGAUUCAUGUUAGAAUUGAC